AUCGAACGCUGGCGACAUGCUUUACACAUGCAAGUCGAACGGUAACAGGGAGCUUGCUCCGCUGACGAGUGGCGAACGGGUGAGUAAUAUAUCGGAACGUACCCAGAAGUGGGGGAUAACGUAGCGAAAGUUACGCUAAUACCGCAUACGAUCCACGGAUGAAAGUAGGGGACCUUCGGGCCUUAUGCUUUUGGAGCGGCCGAUAUCUGAUUAGCUAGUUGGUGAGGUAAAGGCUCACCAAGGCGACGAUCAGUAGCUGGUCUGAGAGGACGACCAGCCACAUUGGAACUGAGACACGGUCCAGACUCCUACGGGAGGCAGCAGUGGGGAAUUUUGGACAAUGGGCGCAAGCCUGAUCCAGCAAUGCCGCGUGAGUGAAGAAGGCCUUCGGGUUGUAAAGCUCUUUUGUCAGGGAAGAAACGGCUGUGGCUAAUAUCCACGGCUAAUGACGGUACCUGAAGAAUAAGCACCGGCUAACUACGUGCCAGCAGCCGCGGUAA
RNAcentral lists this ribosomal RNA (500 nucleotides) under uncultured bacterium. RNAcentral's name for it is "partial 16S ribosomal RNA". It matches the Rfam family "Bacterial small subunit ribosomal RNA", at positions 30 to 523 of the family's 1533-position model. The record is from RNAcentral.